UGGGGCUGUAGCUCAGUUGGAUAGAGCGAUCGCCUCCUAAGCGAUAGGUCGCGCGUUCGAGCCGCGCCAGUCCCGU
RNAcentral lists this transfer RNA (76 nucleotides) under Leptolyngbya sp. O-77. RNAcentral describes it as "tRNA-Arg". It matches the Rfam family "tRNA". Rfam says of the family: Transfer RNA (tRNA) molecules are approximately 80 nucleotides in length. Their secondary structure includes four short double-helical elements and three loops (D, anti-codon, and T loops). The record is from RNAcentral. Lineage: Bacteria; Bacillati; Cyanobacteriota; Cyanophyceae; Leptolyngbyales; Leptolyngbyaceae.